Molecule: ribosomal RNA, 505 nt
Filed under: uncultured bacterium
Lineage: Bacteria
Description: partial 16S ribosomal RNA
Rfam family: Bacterial small subunit ribosomal RNA
Source: RNAcentral
GACGAACGCUGGCGGCGUGCCUAAUACAUGCAAGUAGAACGCACAGUUUAUACCGUAGCUUGCUACACCAUAGACUGUGAGUUGCGAACGUGUGAGUAACGCGUAGGUAACCUGCCUGGUAGCGGGGGUUAACUAUUGGAAACGAUAGCUAAUACCGCAUAAUAUUGAUUAUUGCAUGAUAAUUAAUUGAAAGGUGCAAUUGCACCACUACCAGAUGGACCUGCGUUGUAUUAGCUAGUAGGUUAGGUAACGGCUCACCUAGGCGACGAUACAUAGCCGACCUGAGAGGGUGAUAGGCCACACUGGGACUGAGACACGGCCCAGACUCCUACGGGAGGCAGCAGUAGGGAAUCUUAGGCAAUGGAAGAAAGUCGGACCGAGCAACGCCGCGUGAGUGAAGAAGGUUUUCGGAUAGUAAAGCUCUGUUGUAAGAGAAGAAAGGGUGUGAGAGUGGAAAGUUCAAACUGUGACGGUAGCUUACCAGAAAGGGACGGCUAACUACGUG